Molecule: non-coding RNA, 302 nt
Organism: Phalacrocorax carbo (great cormorant)
Lineage: Eukaryota; Metazoa; Chordata; Aves; Suliformes; Phalacrocoracidae
Source: RefSeq, a predicted model, not a curated record
GCGCUGUGGCGGGAGCGGAGGUAAGGCGAGGCCGUGCCUGGCUUCCAUGAUCUACCGCCUCCUUCAGCGAGGGGAGACUUGGGAAUUACUUUGCACAGCUGAUGGUGCACAGGGGACCAAGCUCCUAGAUGAAAACGAAGACUUGCUGAAAUCUGCAAGCUAUUCCCAGGCACAGAUUGCACCCUGAAUGCAUGUGGGCAGGAGCUGGAUGAAUAAGGAGGAGCCGAGUGAUCCUCUGCAUGAAAACCAAUAGCAGUUUUCCAUCUGGGUACAGUGUCAUCGUGCAGGAGUGAAGGAGUUCA